AAAAAUCACCUAAAUUCCAAUUGUGGCAAACAAGGCAUAGGGUUAUGGUUCUCACUCUAACACAUUCGUACAAUCCGAAUCACUUCUAUCACGAGAGUUCCGACAUAAUUUAUAGAAAAUAGAUAAAUGUGAGUAAUAUCUACUUUCACCGGCGCAUUACCCUAUCAAUGACGAAUAAUUCGUCUUCUUUCGCACCAUCUG
This 201-nucleotide long non-coding RNA is filed under the name Lathyrus oleraceus (garden pea). Its description in RNAcentral is "Pisum sativum (pea) long non-coding RNA (PSAT_LNC014459)". The record is from RNAcentral. Lineage: Eukaryota; Viridiplantae; Streptophyta; Magnoliopsida; Fabales; Fabaceae.